RNAcentral lists this long non-coding RNA (254 nucleotides) under Setaria viridis. RNAcentral's name for it is "long non-coding RNA (SVIR_LNC002358)". Lineage: Eukaryota; Viridiplantae; Streptophyta; Magnoliopsida; Poales; Poaceae. The record is from RNAcentral.
GGGAGGUGCAAUGAUGACUUGAUAUGUUUCAACAUAUCCCACAUCUUGUGCCUCUCGUUUGUUUGUGCCUCCCUGUAAACACAAGUCAAACGCCACUGGUCACCAUCCCCUUCCUGGACUAAUGCAUCAAUGUGGUACUGAGAGUAAGGCAGCAAAGUCACACUUAUAUUAUUAUUCCAAAAAAUAUAUAAUCCGCCACUGCGGCCCGAACUACUGACAGCAAAAGAAUUAUCAAAACCAAGAGUCUGCUUCAG